CCUACGGGUGGCAGCAGUCGGGAAUUUUGGGCAAUGGGCGAAAGCCUGACCCAGCAACGCCGCGUGAAGGAUGAAAUCCCUCGGGAUGUAAACUUCGCAAGAACGGGAAGAAUAAGUAGGGGACAAUACCCCCUAUGAUGACGGUACCGUUUGUAAGCUCCGGCUAACUCCGUGCCAGCAGCCGCGGUAAUACGGGGGGAGCAAGCGUUGUUCGGAUUUACUGGGCGUAAAGGGCGCGUAGGCGGCCAGUGCAAGUCAGUUGUGAAAUCUCCGAGCUUAACUCGGAAAGGUCAACUGAUACUGCUCGGCUAGAGUGCGGAAGGGGCAACUGGAAUUCUUGGUGUAGCGGUGAAAUGCGUAGAUAUCAAGAGGAACACCUGCGGCGAAGGCGGGUUGCUGGGCCGACACUGACGCUGAUGCGCGAAAGCUAGGGGAGCGAACGGGAUUAGAUACCCUUGUAGUC
This 463-nucleotide unclassified non-coding RNA is filed under the name uncultured fungus. RNAcentral's name for it is "partial internal transcribed spacer 1". It matches the Rfam family "Bacterial small subunit ribosomal RNA", at positions 338 to 795 of the family's 1533-position model. Lineage: Eukaryota; Fungi. The record is from RNAcentral.